AAGUCGUAACAAGGUAACCGUAGGUGAACCUGCGGUUGGAUCAUUAAAAAAAAUCCAAACGGUUUUAAUUUAUGCAUUUCGUAAGAUUUUGCUUUUUUAAACCGGAUUAACACCAUGUGCACUCUUGUCUUGAGCAUUAAUAAUGGAAACAUUUUAAUGCACAAGUAACAAACUAUUAAUUUUAACUGAAUUUUUAUAACAAGCAAAAAACUUGUAAUUUAAAAUGAUAAACAACUUUUGACAACGGAUCUCUUGGCUCUC
RNAcentral lists this unclassified non-coding RNA (261 nucleotides) under fungal sp. Its description in RNAcentral is "partial internal transcribed spacer region". The stretch from base 1 to 46 matches the Rfam family "Eukaryotic small subunit ribosomal RNA", at positions 1786 to 1831 of the family's 1831-position model. Lineage: Eukaryota; Fungi. The record is from RNAcentral.